AAAUUGAAGAGUUUGAUCAUGGCUCAGAUUGAACGCUGGCGGCAGGCCUAACACAUGCAAGUCGAACGGUAACAGGAAACAGCUUGCUGUUUCGCUGACGAGUGGCGGACGGGUGAGUAAUGUCUGGGAAACUGCCUGAUGGAGGGGGAUAACUACUGGAAACGGUAGCUAAUACCGCAUAAUGUCGCAAGACCAAAGAGGGGGACCUUCGGGCCUCUUGCCAUCGGAUGUGCCCAGGUGGGAUUAGCUUGU
Molecule: ribosomal RNA, 252 nt
Filed under: Escherichia coli
Lineage: Bacteria; Pseudomonadati; Pseudomonadota; Gammaproteobacteria; Enterobacterales; Enterobacteriaceae
Description: partial 16S ribosomal RNA
Rfam family: Bacterial small subunit ribosomal RNA
Source: RNAcentral